UACGAGGGGUGCAAGCGUUGCUCGGAAUUAUUGGGCGUAAAGGGUAGGUAGGUGGUCUCAUUUGUCUGGGGUGAAAUCCUUGAGCUUAACUCAAGAAGUGCCCCAGAAACGGUGAGACUUGAGUACUGGAGAGGGUCGUGGAAUUCCCGGUGUAGCGGUGAAAUGCGUAGAGAUCGGGAGGAACACCAGCGGCGAAGGCGGCGACCUGGACAGUAACUGACACUCAACUACGAAAGCGUGGGGAGCAAGCAGG
Molecule: ribosomal RNA, 253 nt
Filed under: uncultured bacterium
Lineage: Bacteria
Description: partial 16S ribosomal RNA
Rfam family: Bacterial small subunit ribosomal RNA
Source: RNAcentral